UGCAAGCGUUAUCCGGAAUGAUUGGGCGUAAAGCGUCUGCAGGUGGCAGUUCAAGUCUGCUGUCAAAGACCGGGGCUUAACUUCGGAAAGGCAGUGGAAACUGAACAGCUAGAGUAUGGUAGGGGCAGAGGGAAUUCCUGGUGUAGCGGUGAAAUGCGCAGAUAUCAGGAGGAACACCGAUGGCGAAGGCAGGUCUCUGGGCCACUACUGACGCUGAGAGGCGAAAGCAUGGGGAGCGAACAGG
This 244-nucleotide ribosomal RNA is filed under the name uncultured bacterium. Its description in RNAcentral is "partial 16S ribosomal RNA". It matches the Rfam family "Bacterial small subunit ribosomal RNA", at positions 533 to 776 of the family's 1533-position model. The record is from RNAcentral.